This 2930-nucleotide ribosomal RNA is filed under the name Escherichia coli. RNAcentral's name for it is "bacterial LSU rRNA". It matches the Rfam family "Bacterial large subunit ribosomal RNA". Lineage: Bacteria; Pseudomonadati; Pseudomonadota; Gammaproteobacteria; Enterobacterales; Enterobacteriaceae. RNAcentral also lists the same sequence under 3 other names. The record is from RNAcentral.
GGGUUGUGAGGUUAAGCGACUAAGCGUACACGGUGGAUGCCCUGGCAGUCAGAGGCGAUGAAGGACGUGCUAAUCUGCGAUAAGCGUCGGUAAGGUGAUAUGAACCGUUAUAACCGGCGAUUUCCGAAUGGGGAAACCCAGUGUGAUUCGUCACACUAUCAUUAACUGAAUCCAUAGGUUAAUGAGGCGAACCGGGGGAACUGAAACAUCUAAGUACCCCGAGGAAAAGAAAUCAACCGAGAUUCCCCCAGUAGCGGCGAGCGAACGGGGAGGAGCCCAGAGCCUGAAUCAGUGUGUGUGUUAGUGGAAGCGUCUGGAAAGGCGCGCGAUACAGGGUGACAGCCCCGUACACAAAAAUGCACAUGCUGUGAGCUCGAUGAGUAGGGCGGGACACGUGGUAUCCUGUCUGAAUAUGGGGGGACCAUCCUCCAAGGCUAAAUACUCCUGACUGACCGAUAGUGAACCAGUACCGUGAGGGAAAGGCGAAAAGAACCCCGGCGAGGGGAGUGAAAAAGAACCUGAAACCGUGUACGUACAAGCAGUGGGAGCACGCUUAGGCGUGUGACUGCGUACCUUUUGUAUAAUGGGUCAGCGACUUAUAUUCUGUAGCAAGGUUAACCGAAUAGGGGAGCCGAAGGGAAACCGAGUCUUAACUGGGCGUUAAGUUGCAGGGUAUAGACCCGAAACCCGGUGAUCUAGCCAUGGGCAGGUUGAAGGUUGGGUAACACUAACUGGAGGACCGAACCGACUAAUGUUGAAAAAUUAGCGGAUGACUUGUGGCUGGGGGUGAAAGGCCAAUCAAACCGGGAGAUAGCUGGUUCUCCCCGAAAGCUAUUUAGGUAGCGCCUCGUGAAUUCAUCUCCGGGGGUAGAGCACUGUUUCGGCAAGGGGGUCAUCCCGACUUACCAACCCGAUGCAAACUGCGAAUACCGGAGAAUGUUAUCACGGGAGACACACGGCGGGUGCUAACGUCCGUCGUGAAGAGGGAAACAACCCAGACCGCCAGCUAAGGUCCCAAAGUCAUGGUUAAGUGGGAAACGAUGUGGGAAGGCCCAGACAGCCAGGAUGUUGGCUUAGAAGCAGCCAUCAUUUAAAGAAAGCGUAAUAGCUCACUGGUCGAGUCGGCCUGCGCGGAAGAUGUAACGGGGCUAAACCAUGCACCGAAGCUGCGGCAGCGACGCUGAUGCGUUGUUGGGUAGGGGAGCGUUCUGUAAGCCUGUGAAGGUGUGCUGUGAGGCAUGCUGGAGGUAUCAGAAGUGCGAAUGCUGACAUAAGUAACGAUAAAGCGGGUGAAAAGCCCGCUCGCCGGAAGACCAAGGGUUCCUGUCCAACGUUAAUCGGGGCAGGGUGAGUCGACCCCUAAGGCGAGGCCGAAAGGCGUAGUCGAUGGGAAACAGGUUAAUAUUCCUGUACUUGGUGUUACUGCGAAGGGGGGACGGAGAAGGCUAUGUUGGCCGGGCGACGGUUGUCCCGGUUUAAGCGUGUAGGCUGGUUUUCCAGGCAAAUCCGGAAAACUAAGGCUGAGGCGUGAUGACGAGGCACUACGGUGCUGAAGCAACAAAUGCCCUGCUUCCAGGAAAAGCCUCUAAGCAUCAGGUAACAUCAAAUCGUACCCCAAACCGACACAGGUGGUCAGGUAGAGAAUACCAAGGCGCUUGAGAGAACUCGGGUGAAGGAACUAGGCAAAAUGGUGCCGUAACUUCGGGAGAAGGCACGCUGAUAUGUAGGUGAAGUCCCUCGCGGAUGGAGCUGAAAUCAGUCGAAGAUACCAGCUGGCUGCAACUGUUUAUUAAAAACACAGCACUGUGCAAACACGAAAGUGGACGUAUACGGUGUGACGCCUGCCCGGUGCCGGAAGGUUAAUUGAUGGGGUCAGCGCAAGCGAAGCUCUUGAUCGAAGCCCCGGUAAACGGCGGCCGUAACUAUAACGGUCCUAAGGUAGCGAAAUUCCUUGUCGGGUAAGUUCCGACCUGCACGAAUGGCGUAAUGAUGGCCAGGCUGUCUCCACCCGAGACUCAGUGAAAUUGAACUCGCUGUGAAGAUGCAGUGUACCCGCGGCAAGACGGAAAGACCCCGUGAACCUUUACUAUAGCUUGACACUGAACAUUGAGCCUUGAUGUGUAGGAUAGGUGGGAGGCUUUGAAGUGUGGACGCCAGUCUGCAUGGAGCCGACCUUGAAAUACCACCCUUUAAUGUUUGAUGUUCUAACGUUGACCCGUAAUCCGGGUUGCGGACAGUGUCUGGUGGGUAGUUUGACUGGGGCGGUCUCCUCCUAAAGAGUAACGGAGGAGCACGAAGGUUGGCUAAUCCUGGUCGGACAUCAGGAGGUUAGUGCAAUGGCAUAAGCCAGCUUGACUGCGAGCGUGACGGCGCGAGCAGGUGCGAAAGCAGGUCAUAGUGAUCCGGUGGUUCUGAAUGGAAGGGCCAUCGCUCAACGGAUAAAAGGUACUCCGGGGAUAACAGGCUGAUACCGCCCAAGAGUUCAUAUCGACGGCGGUGUUUGGCACCUCGAUGUCGGCUCAUCACAUCCUGGGGCUGAAGUAGGUCCCAAGGGUAUGGCUGUUCGCCAUUUAAAGUGGUACGCGAGCUGGGUUUAGAACGUCGUGAGACAGUUCGGUCCCUAUCUGCCGUGGGCGCUGGAGAACUGAGGGGGGCUGCUCCUAGUACGAGAGGACCGGAGUGGACGCAUCACUGGUGUUCGGGUUGUCAUGCCAAUGGCACUGCCCGGUAGCUAAAUGCGGAAGAGAUAAGUGCUGAAAGCAUCUAAGCACGAAACUUGCCCCGAGAUGAGUUCUCCCUGACUCCUUGAGAGUCCUGAAGGAACGUUGAAGACGACGACGUUGAUAGGCCGGGUGUGUAAGCGCAGCGAUGCGUUGAGCUAACCGGUACUAAUGAACCGUGAGGCUUAACCUUACAACGCCGAAGCUGUU